RNAcentral lists this ribosomal RNA (460 nucleotides) under uncultured bacterium. Its description in RNAcentral is "partial 16S ribosomal RNA". It matches the Rfam family "Bacterial small subunit ribosomal RNA", at positions 338 to 795 of the family's 1533-position model. The record is from RNAcentral.
CCUAUGGGGAGGCAGCAGUGAGGAAUAUUGGUCAAUGGCCGCAGGGCUGAACCAGCCAAGUCGCGUGAGGGAUGACGGUCCUAUGGAUUGUAAACCUCUUUUGUCAGGGAGCAAAGGGCGCCACGUGUGGCGUUUUGCGAGUAUCUGAAGAUAAAGCAUCGGCUAAGUCCGUGCCAGCAGCCGCGGUAGUACGGAGGAUGCGAGCGUUAUCCGGAUUAUUUGGGUUAAAGGGGGGCGCAGGCGGAAGGUCAAGUCGGCGGUAAAAUUUCGGGCCUCAACCCCGUCGUGCCGUUGAUACUGGCGGUCUUGAGUGAGCGAGAAGUAUGCGGAAUGCGUGGUGUAGCGGUGAAAUGCAUAGAUAUCACGCAGAACUCCGAUUGCGAAGGCAGCAUACCGGCACUCAACUGACGCUCAUGCACGAAAGCGUGGGUAUCGAACAGGAUUAGAUACCCGAGUAGUC